CGACGGCCGCCGUUGAGAGGCGCGAGGUCGCCCCUCAGAGCCCUCCCGCUUCCACCGCCAUUCCGUGGACGCGCUGGCGGGGUGCCGCGGGAAAAAGUUGGCCGCUUCUCCUCCCCCGUUGCUCCCGUCACGGGCGGUAGUACGGGCCGCGGCAAGCCGCCACCUGAGGCUCCGCGAAAGGACCGUCGAGAAGAGCUUUCCCAGUGAAAUAGGCGCCGCAGCUCCUGUAGGAGGCGCCAGAGAGGCGCGAGGGCGCGGCGGAGCUGCAAGGGGCAGCGCGGCCGGGAGCGCUGUGGAGGAGCUUCUGAACAGACAGCAGCUUCUGAGACUGUUUAGGAAAUCCGUCCUUCUCGUCUCCAUCAGCCAACAGCCAGCCUUCAGAUUCUCUUCUAGCAGGAGAGAAACAAUGGGACUACUGUUAUGUGAAGAGAAUGGUAGGAGAAGAAGAGAUUUCUUAACAGCUGUAAGAACAAGCCAAUUCCGUGCUUCUGAGGAAUUUGGAAUUCUCAUCAGCUCUUCGUUUACUGCCAAUGGAUAUUCUUCCUCCAGAAAAAAAAGCAAGAAAUCCUGAUGCUGUUGGACACUCUUUACUGAGCCACGGUAACUGCUGAUCCAGUUCUGAUUCGGAAUUCACUUCUAUAGAAGUCUGUUACAAGAUACUUAAGUGCUUUAUCCUUUCCCUAAUGAAUUGAAGACUUCUAUGUAUAACUGCUGGAAGGGUCACUGUGCAUAGAUUACAUUUGUAAGAAAGGAUUAUACGGUCCCAGAUAAACUUCUACUGUACAGUCUUAUACUUAUUUUGGUGAGACCCUUGGCAGAUCAAAGAUUUUCUUCAUAAAGUAUAAGGUGAGACACAAAACUUGGAUUUCCUAAUUCCUAAUUGAAUUUUACAUUCAAGGCUUCUCUGUCUGAUCUUAGCCCUUCGUGACAACAACUGCAAGAAGAAUGUGAACCAAGUAUUAGUCACCAGCGUUAGGAUAAGAAAAUAAAGAGACAAAUCUAAAGCCAGGAUGAGGAAGAUGCUUUGUUAU
Molecule: long non-coding RNA, 1031 nt
Organism: Lagopus muta (rock ptarmigan)
Lineage: Eukaryota; Metazoa; Chordata; Aves; Galliformes; Phasianidae
Exons: 5
Source: RefSeq, a predicted model, not a curated record